This 252-nucleotide long non-coding RNA is filed under the name Vigna radiata. Its description in RNAcentral is "long non-coding RNA (VRAD_LNC011189)". The record is from RNAcentral. Lineage: Eukaryota; Viridiplantae; Streptophyta; Magnoliopsida; Fabales; Fabaceae.
CUGAAAGUUGUUGAAUCUAGAAGCUACACAAAAAUGCACUAAAUACAUGUGCUAAAUGUGAAGAAAAUCUACCAUGGUGUAUUUAGCACAAGGGGGUGCGCUUAAUAACCUUUAUUCUUCUAGUAAUUGGUCUUUGAUUCUUUGAUGGGCUUGGGCCCCACGUAUCAUUCAGAUUCAAGGUCAAAUAUAUGUAAUCUCACCAGGAUGGUUCCCUAAACCUAAAGAUCAAUGGUCACUAGAGCUAUAGCCCCC